This 440-nucleotide ribosomal RNA is filed under the name uncultured bacterium. RNAcentral describes it as "bacterial SSU rRNA". It matches the Rfam family "Bacterial small subunit ribosomal RNA", at positions 338 to 795 of the family's 1533-position model. The record is from RNAcentral.
CCUACGGGUGGCAGCAGUGGGGAAUAUUGCACAAUGGGGGAAACCCUGAUGCAGCAACGCCGCGUGAGCGAUGAAGGACUUCGGGUCGUAAAGCACUGUCCUAAGGGAAGAAUACUGACGGUACCUUAGGAGGAAGCCCCGGCUAACUACGUGCCAGCAACCGCGGUAAUACGUAGGGGGCUAGCGUUAUCCGGAAUUACUGGGCGUACAGGGUGCGUAGGCGGCCCUUCAAGUCAGAGGUGAAAGGCUCCGGCUCAACCGUAGUAAGCCUUUGAAACUGUAGGGCUUGUGUGCAGGAGAGGAGAGUGGAAUUCCCAGUGUAGCGGUGAAAUGCGUAGAUAUUGGGAGGAACACCAGUUGCGAAUGCGGCUCUCUGGACUGUAACAGACGCUGAGGCACUAAAGCUUGGGGAGCGGACAGGAUUAGAUACGCUAGUAGGC